RNA transcript from Quercus lobata, 1917 nucleotides. It is a transcript of the gene named vacuolar sorting protein 3-like, with no coding region annotated. The transcript is spliced from 8 exons. The record is from RefSeq and is a predicted model, not a curated record. Lineage: Eukaryota; Viridiplantae; Streptophyta; Magnoliopsida; Fagales; Fagaceae.
AUUUUUGAACUUUGCUCUGUACGUAGGGUCCAAGGAAACUGAUGAAAAGGCUGAUGAGGUUCUAAAGUAGGAUAUUUUGGAUUGUUGGACGCCAGAAAAUCACUAUGGAUGGACUGAAUCUAAGUGUUAAACAUUUCUAAAUUUAGACCAUCUAUAGUGAUUUUCUAGAGUCCAAUAAUCCAAGAUAUCCAACUUUAGAACCUCAUCAGCCUUUUCAUCAGUUUCCUUAGACCCUACCUCUGAGGUCCACGAAAAUGGAGGUGUAUCAUAAGAAGUCGGGUAGGUGUAUUCAAUCGAUAAGUUUUGGUGGGGAAGGAGUUGGAGCUAGCGUUAUUGCUGAUGAGGAAGUUGGGAGUGGGAAACUUGUUGCUGUUGGAACACCCAACAAGGUUAUUUGCUAUCGUAAAUUACCUUCUGAAGAACAAAUCAAAGACGUUUUGAGAAAGAAGAACUUUAAAGAAGCCAUUGCCUUGGUGGAGGAACUUGAGUGUGAUGCUGAAUUGUCAAAGGAUAUGCUCUCCUUUGUUCAUGCUCAAGUGGGGUUUCUAUUGCUGUUUAACCUGCAUUUUGAGGAAGCAGUAAAUCACUUUUUGCUGUCAGAGACAAUGCAGCCUUCUGAAAGAUAAAGGUACCUCCAGUGGUUGAUUGAAGAUCAGGACUGUGAUGAUACUCAAUUCCAUACAUUAUAUGCUCUAUCACUUGCCAAAUCAGCAAUUGAAGCCUUUCAAACUGAAAAUACUUAUCAAAACAGUGACAUUGGAAGGGUAGAUGAGACAGUAAUUUCUGAUAAUAGAAUGAACUCGAUCUUUGAAAGUCCUCUUCGAGAAAGACUGCAGAUAUUUUUGUCGUCUUCAGACUUGUAUGAUCCAGAGGAAGUUCUUUACUUGAUCGAAGGAUCGGAGUUAUGGUUGGAAAAGGUCCAUUGGAACUCUUAUAAUUACUUUGUUGUUGGUUCUGCCUAUUGACUUGGCUGACUCUUCUGAUUAUGCAAUUCUUUACAGUAAACUGGGUCAAGAGGGAUUAGUGCUCCAAAUUUUGGCAUUGAAAAUUUGCGUGUAACACACCUGAGGGCACAAUACUUGUGUCCUGCACUCAGAAGAUUUGAAUAAAAGAAUUUACCCUGUUCUGUCUUAUAUGGAGCCAAUGGCAGGAGAUAAGUUUUAGGAAUCAGCACUGAAGAAAAUGAAGAUGAAGUGACUGAAAAUGAAGAAAAUUCGGGUUCUGCUUCUACUUCUGCCAGUACUGAAGAAAGUAUUGAACUUUCACCAGCAAGAGCAAGACCUCAAAGGGUGAACCGUGCACAAACAAGACUCAUGUGUUCAUUUCUCCAAGCAAGUUGAGGGUGAAGCUCAUAGGGCCUCACCAUCUUAGAAAGAAGGAUGGAUCAAACAGUAACUCUUCUAGACACAAUUUGGUUUGCUGAGGAAGGUAGUGCAUAAGCCAUGGUUCUUGACAGCAUUCUAUCUUCUCCUCAUCGUAGGUCACCAUCAUUCAGGAAGCAAUUCUCGCGGGAUGAUUCAUUAAGCUGGCCAACACUCCUUCAAAGGCACCGCUUCCUCUUAAUAGCUCUAAUUCUCCUAGCUUUCCUAUGCACUAUGUAUCUUUAUUUUGCUGUCACUUUAGGUGCUUCUGGAUCAUGUUCUGAUUUAAAGGGUGCUCAGAAAGCGUCAGGUUUGGAUGCAAAAGCUUCUGUGGGCAAUGGAAAAUUGAAAUUCCUUUGACAUGUAGAUGAUAAUUAUAGUUGGAAAGCAUUUCCGUCCUUGGUUCUUUUCGAUUCUAAGGAGAUUGAAUUUAACCAUACUUUUAAAAUUGCAAUAGGUUGUUUGCUGUUUUUGAACUCAAUUGUCCUGAAUCUUAUAUAUGAGAAAUGUAACAAAAUUUUCAUUUGGAGACUAUAUAGCAAAAAUUUGAUUUGGA